RNAcentral lists this ribosomal RNA (460 nucleotides) under uncultured bacterium. RNAcentral describes it as "partial 16S ribosomal RNA". It matches the Rfam family "Bacterial small subunit ribosomal RNA", at positions 338 to 795 of the family's 1533-position model. The record is from RNAcentral.
CCUACGGGAGGCAGCAGUGAGGAAUAUUGGUCAAUGGCCGCAAGGCUGAACCAGCCAAGUAGCGUGAAGGAAGACUGCCCUACGGGUUGUAAACUUCUUUUAUAAAGGAAUAAAGGUAUGCACGUGUGGCUUUUUGCAUGUACUGUAUGAAUAAGGACCGGCUAAUUCCGUGCCAGCAGCCGCGGUAAUACGGAAGGUCCGGGCGUUAUCCGGAUUUAUUGGGUUUAAAGGGAGCGUAGGUCGGUUUUUAAGCGUGCUGUGAAAGUUUGCGGCUCAACCAUAAGAGUGCAGUUGAUACUGGAGGCCUUGAGUACAGGUGAGGUAGGCGGAAUUCGUGGUGUAGCGGUGAAAUGCUUAGAUAUCACGAAGAACUCCGAUUGCGAAGGCAGCCUGCUGAACCGUCACUGACAUUGAUGCUCGAAAGCGUGGGUAUCAAACAGGAUUAGAUACCCCAGUAGUC